UUUCCUACGGGGGGCAGCAGUGAGGAAUAUUGGUCAAUGGGAGAGAUCCUGAACCAGCCAAGCCGCGUGAGGGAAGACGGCCCUAUGGGUUGUAAACCUCUUUUGUCGGGGAGCAAAGAGGCCACGUGUGGUCAAAAGCGAGAGUACCCGAAGAAAAAGCAUCGGCUGACUCCGUGCCAGCAGCCGCGGUAAUACGGAGGAUGCGAGCGUUAUCCGGAUUUAUUGGGUUUAA
RNAcentral lists this ribosomal RNA (232 nucleotides) under uncultured bacterium. RNAcentral describes it as "partial 16S ribosomal RNA". It matches the Rfam family "Bacterial small subunit ribosomal RNA", at positions 335 to 563 of the family's 1533-position model. The record is from RNAcentral.